Molecule: transfer RNA, 146 nt
Organism: Fusarium oxysporum f. sp. cubense
Lineage: Eukaryota; Fungi; Ascomycota; Sordariomycetes; Hypocreales; Nectriaceae
Rfam family: tRNA
About the family: Transfer RNA (tRNA) molecules are approximately 80 nucleotides in length. Their secondary structure includes four short double-helical elements and three loops (D, anti-codon, and T loops).
Source: Rfam
GGCCGCGUGGCCUAAUGGCUAAGGCGCUAGAUUUCGGUUCUAGAUCUCCCGAACUCUCUAGAGAUUCCAGGUAGGUUCUCAUUCAAACGAGCUUCUCCGCAUCCAGGCACUAACAUCUCCAAAAGGUUCGACUCCUGGCGUGGUCG